RNAcentral lists this ribosomal RNA (253 nucleotides) under uncultured bacterium. Its description in RNAcentral is "partial 16S ribosomal RNA". It matches the Rfam family "Bacterial small subunit ribosomal RNA", at positions 524 to 776 of the family's 1533-position model. The record is from RNAcentral.
UACGUAGGGUGCGAGCGUUAAUCGGAAUUACUGGGCGUAAAGCGUGCGCAGGCGGUUUUGUAAGCCAGAUGUGAAAUCCCCGGGCUUAACCUGGGAAUGGCAUUUGGGACUGCAAGGCUGGAGUGCGGCAGAGGAGACUGGAAUUCCUGGUGUAGCAGUGAAAUGCGUAGAUAUCGAGAGGAACACCUGCGGCGAAGGCGGGUUGCUGGGCUGACACUGACGCUGAGGCGCGAAAGCCAGGGGAGCGAACGGG